Molecule: ribosomal RNA, 2929 nt
Filed under: Escherichia coli
Lineage: Bacteria; Pseudomonadati; Pseudomonadota; Gammaproteobacteria; Enterobacterales; Enterobacteriaceae
Description: bacterial LSU rRNA
Rfam family: Bacterial large subunit ribosomal RNA
Source: RNAcentral
GGGUUGUGAGGUUAAGCGACUAAGCGUACACGGUGGAUGCCCUGGCAGUCAGAGGCGAUGAAGGACGUGCUAAUCUGCGAUAAGCGUCGGUAAGGUGAUAUGAACCGUUAUAACCGGCGAUUUCCGAAUGGGGAAACCCAGUGUGAUUCGUCACACUAUCAUUAACUGAAUCCAUAGGUUAAUGAGGCGAACCGGGGGAACUGAAACAUCUAAGUACCCCGAGGAAAAGAAAUCAACCGAGAUUCCCCCAGUAGCGGCGAGCGAACGGGGAGCAGCCCAGAGCCUGAAUCAGUGUGUGUGUUAGUGGAAGCGUCUGGAAAGGCGCGCGAUACAGGGUGACAGCCCCGUACACAAAAAUGCACAUGCUGUGAGCUCGAUGAGUAGGGCGGGACACGUGGUAUCCUGUCUGAAUAUGGGGGGACCAUCCUCCAAGGCUAAAUACUCCUGACUGACCGAUAGUGAACCAGUACCGUGAGGGAAAGGCGAAAAGAACCCCGGCGAGGGGAGUGAAAAAGAACCUGAAACCGUGUACGUACAAGCAGUGGGAGCACGCUUAGGCGUGUGACUGCGUACCUUUUGUAUAAUGGGUCAGCGACUUAUAUUCUGUAGCAAGGUUAACCGAAUAGGGGAGCCGAAGGGAAACCGAGUCUUAACUGGGCGUUAAGUUGCAGGGUAUAGACCCGAAACCCGGUGAUCUAGCCAUGGGCAGGUUGAAGGUUGGGUAACACUAACUGGAGGACCGAACCGACUAAUGUUGAAAAAUUAGCGGAUGACUUGUGGCUGGGGGUGAAAGGCCAAUCAAACCGGGAGAUAGCUGGUUCUCCCCGAAAGCUAUUUAGGUAGCGCCUCGUGAAUUCAUCUCCGGGGGUAGAGCACUGUUUCGGCAAGGGGGUCAUCCCGACUUACCAACCCGAUGCAAACUGCGAAUACCGGAGAAUGUUAUCACGGGAGACACACGGCGGGUGCUAACGUCCGUCGUGAAGAGGGAAACAACCCAGACCGCCAGCUAAGGUCCCAAAGUCAUGGUUAAGUGGGAAACGAUGUGGGAAGGCCCAGACAGCCAGGAUGUUGGCUUAGAAGCAGCCAUCAUUUAAAGAAAGCGUAAUAGCUCACUGGUCGAGUCGGCCUGCGCGGAAGAUGUAACGGGGCUAAACCAUGCACCGAAGCUGCGGCAGCGACGCUGAUGCGUUGUUGGGUAGGGGAGCGUUCUGUAAGCCUGUGAAGGUGUGCUGUGAGGCAUGCUGGAGGUAUCAGAAGUGCGAAUGCUGACAUAAGUAACGAUAAAGCGGGUGAAAAGCCCGCUCGCCGGAAGACCAAGGGUUCCUGUCCAACGUUAAUCGGGGCAGGGUGAGUCGACCCCUAAGGCGAGGCCGAAAGGCGUAGUCGAUGGGAAACAGGUUAAUAUUCCUGUACUUGGUGUUACUGCGAAGGGGGGACGGAGAAGGCUAUGUUGGCCGGGCGACGGUUGUCCCGGUUUAAGCGUGUAGGCUGGUUUUCCAGGCAAAUCCGGAAAAUCAAGGCUGAGGCGUGAUGACGAGGCACUACGGUGCUGAAGCAACAAAUGCCCUGCUUCCAGGAAAAGCCUCUAAGCAUCAGGUAACAUCAAAUCGUACCCCAAACCGACACAGGUGGUCAGGUAGAGAAUACCAAGGCGCUUGAGAGAACUCGGGUGAAGGAACUAGGCAAAAUGGUGCCGUAACUUCGGGAGAAGGCACGCUGAUAUGUAGGUGAAGCGACUUGCUCGUGGAGCUGAAAUCAGUCGAAGAUACCAGCUGGCUGCAACUGUUUAUUAAAAACACAGCACUGUGCAAACACGAAAGUGGACGUAUACGGUGUGACGCCUGCCCGGUGCCGGAAGGUUAAUUGAUGGGGUCAGCGCAAGCGAAGCUCUUGAUCGAAGCCCCGGUAAACGGCGGCCGUAACUAUAACGGUCCUAAGGUAGCGAAAUUCCUUGUCGGGUAAGUUCCGACCUGCACGAAUGGCGUAAUGAUGGCCAGGCUGUCUCCACCCGAGACUCAGUGAAAUUGAACUCGCUGUGAAGAUGCAGUGUACCCGCGGCAAGACGGAAAGACCCCGUGAACCUUUACUAUAGCUUGACACUGAACAUUGAGCCUUGAUGUGUAGGAUAGGUGGGAGGCUUUGAAGUGUGGACGCCAGUCUGCAUGGAGCCGACCUUGAAAUACCACCCUUUAAUGUUUGAUGUUCUAACGUUGACCCGUAAUCCGGGUUGCGGACAGUGUCUGGUGGGUAGUUUGACUGGGGCGGUCUCCUCCUAAAGAGUAACGGAGGAGCACGAAGGUUGGCUAAUCCUGGUCGGACAUCAGGAGGUUAGUGCAAUGGCAUAAGCCAGCUUGACUGCGAGCGUGACGGCGCGAGCAGGUGCGAAAGCAGGUCAUAGUGAUCCGGUGGUUCUGAAUGGAAGGGCCAUCGCUCAACGGAUAAAAGGUACUCCGGGGAUAACAGGCUGAUACCGCCCAAGAGUUCAUAUCGACGGCGGUGUUUGGCACCUCGAUGUCGGCUCAUCACAUCCUGGGGCUGAAGUAGGUCCCAAGGGUAUGGCUGUUCGCCAUUUAAAGUGGUACGCGAGCUGGGUUUAGAACGUCGUGAGACAGUUCGGUCCCUAUCUGCCGUGGGCGCUGGAGAACUGAGGGGGCUGCUCCUAGUACGAGAGGACCGGAGUGGACGCAUCACUGGUGUUCGGGUUGUCAUGCCAAUGGCACUGCCCGGUAGCUAAAUGCGGAAGAGAUAAGUGCUGAAAGCAUCUAAGCACGAAACUUGCCCCGAGAUGAGUUCUCCCUGACUCCUUGAGAGUCCUGAAGGAACGUUGAAGACGACGACGUUGAUAGGCCGGGUGUGUAAGCGCAGCGAUGCGUUGAGCUAACCGGUACUAAUGAACCGUGAGGCUUAACCUUACAACGCCGAAGCUGUU